GAAAGAAACUGUUGCUGCAAUGACUCCAUAUGAGCAGAUCUUCUGGACUUGCUGCAUCUCCUUGUUGUUGCAACUGCUCAAAAUAAGAAUUCUUUGAAUAGAAAGUAAGAGCAGAACUUUGCCUCUGGUAAUUUCUUCUAUUUAUUUAUUAACUGAGGGAAUCCAGAAGGUUUGCUUUCAAGCCUUUCUUUGUCUGACAAGUGACUUCAGAAAUCUGGCAAAGGUAAAGAGAUUGGAGUCUUGCUCCGGCCUAGGUCUGGUUGUGAAACAGAUGGAGCCUGGCGCUGCUUUCAGGGCACAGGGCAACCACAUUAAGCAAAAGGGAUUUUAAGAGUGAAGGGGGAAGCCUCCCACACCUGCAUGAAGGACAAAAUGUAUGUGGUAGAUGAAGAUGGGAAUCUCUCAGGGGAGCAGUGGAUGUGGUUGAAAGAAUCACUUCUGUUCAGAUGUUUUAGUUUUGUAUGGGGAUGUUUGAAACCUGAGGAGAUGGCUCUACAGUAAGGAGAAAAUGGUAGAAGUUCUAAUAGAGUUGUUCUUGAUUUAACCUUUUGCAGUGCUUUUGUGUAAAAAUGAGCAAAGUCACCUCACUCAGUUGGCUGCUGAAGCAGUGUGUUUGGGUGACCACAGGAUAACUCUUGAUGUGGAGCUCCCCAUCUUCAGGGUGAAACCAGCUGUUUCUAAAGGUUGCUUUUUGAUGACCAACAACUUUUUGAGGGGACAUAAAUGUUUUUCAAAUACAUAUUUGCAGAAAAAUGGAAUUGUUAAAAUCAGGAGGAACGGUGGGGUAGAAGCUUUCAUGCUUGAGGAUUGAGUGUACAGCAAAGUUGGGGGUUCUACAGCUUUUCACUGGAGUACAUUAGUGACUUCAUUGCUAAAUCUUAUGCUCCUGUGCUUUUGCUUAUGAUUGUUAGUGCAGAUCUGUAAUCAUUGAUGAAUUGAUGGACCAUAUAAAAGUCAGCCUGGCUUUCAGGUUGGAACCUGUGCUCAAGCUUGGGAAAAUGACCUGUGAGGAUUUUUAUUAUUAUAAGGAAAACUGGAAGUUGAAAAGCUCUGUAUUUGUAAAUCUGCUCACAGAUUCUGUUACUCUGAUGGGCGUGUUUUCAGUAGGAAUAUGCUUUUUGUUGUUGUUGUUGUUAUUGUUGCACUGCUUUAAAAUAGAAAUAAUAGGAAAAAGCCUAGUAAAAAGACUGGUAAGUUUCACCACACAGAGUUAAAGGACUCUGGACAAAGUUGUUGAGCGCACUGAUUUCUCAGACUACAAAAACAGAGAAAAAAGUGGCAGAAGAAACUAGAACAUGGGAACCAGAGGACAUGGAGUGGUUUGCUUUAGCCUUUAGCAAGAACCUCAUUGCUCUGAUUUGCUGAGGAGAGGCUAUAAUGGAGCAAGAUGCAGAGGGAAAAAAUGGUAAAAUAUAUGCUUGCAGAAGUAGAUAUGUGGGAUCCUCAAGCUGCCUUUGGUUACCAGUUAUUACUAUGACAUCAGGAAUGUGACAGUGAGCUGUGGGAUUUUUUUCCUGAAACUGUGGAUUAAGUGUCCUCAGAGAGGACAUUCAGAAUCUUUGGUGGGAGCGGAAUGUGAAACACCAGCUGCUGCAUGGGCUGAGGCAAUCUAUGGAGGCAACUGGAGAAGUAUAAAGGAUGGUGUUGUUAAGGAUGGGGAGAGGUUCUUUUAACUUUUUAAAGACACUGCAUCUCUUCCUAAUCAAACAAUCAUGAUCCCUUGGGUUGUUGAUUCUAAAAUACCAAAUCCUACUGUUUUUAUUCCAGCCUCAUGUCAGCAAUACAUACUUCAUAUUUCCACACUGCAGUCCCUGUGGAGGCAGGUUGCAUUGUGGGGCUCAAUGGCAGGCUUUUGAUCUCAGCUGGAUAUGCUUCACUGUUGUUUUCUUUUCCCCAUGUAUUCCUUCCCUCCAGUGACCUUCCCCUUUCUACAACGAUUUAACAAAGACAAUAAAACUGAGUCACAGUAGGAAAACUUGCUGUCUGCAGAUGAGGAGACGAAGGGAAAUUUCUGCUGCUGCUUCCAGCAGUGCUUUAGCUUAAAGUGCAAUUUUUUUCCCUCUGUUUUUGGAAGGUGUGAAGUAACCAAGUUGUUGUGGAGUGUGGAGCAUUAGGCUCAGGAGAGCAGUGAAUAUUUUUGUUGGUUUUGGAGCCAUCGGGGUUAUUUGUGAAUCCUCACUAGAGAGCUUUUCUUAGUGGAGGAAGAGGGUAUUUGGGAGCACAAAGUGACCUUGCUGUGUUUGUAUUACAUUGGCAAGAAUAAUUGAACCUCACAUACUAGAGAUAAGAAAAGUGACAUUCCUGAUGAGGGGACCUGGAAAACUCCAGUAUUACUCUGGAUUGUUAAAUGCCAGUUAAAUGGAAAGUUGUCACAAAUGUUUUUUCAAAACUUAAAAAUUUACGACCAGUACUCAGUGCCAGACAGAAAACUGCUGGAGCUGAAGUUCAAACAGAGCAUAAACUCUGCCAGGAAGGAUGACACAGUAGUUUAAGUAUGCUGAAACUGAUAAAUUACUCCUCCAGGGUACCACCCUUCCACACAUAUUCUUGUGGGACUAGGAAAUAACACUGUCAUUUGCACUAUGCACUUUUUGCUGUCUAACUGAAUAUAAUCUGGAGUAAGUGGAAUGGCAUUGCUGGCAUUGCAUGUGUUAGCUGUAAUCAAUGGACAGAAAGUUUAUCUUCAGCUGGACUUUUCACUGUAUUACAUUUGGCCCCUUGCUAUGUAAGGAGAAUUGCACUCAUAAUUACUGUGUACCAAAAGCAAGAUCAUCUGAGAGCACAUGGAACAAGAAAACUCAUGUAGUCACGCACACAUUGUCUUUGUAGAGCUUCAUUUUAAGAUUAUAAAAUGAGAAUACGUGAAUUUUAUAUAUUUUCAAGGUUUUUGCCAGUCAUGCAGUUCUUCAUUUACGAAGUACUGACCUCACUGUCCCUUCUAGGAUAAGCCUGAAAUUAUUGUCCAACCACAGCCCCUCUCCAAAAGCACUAAAUGCCCGACUUUUCAAAACCAGCAAUAAUUGGAUAAUGAAGUCCCUCCACAGAAACUCAGCUUCACUUUUAAAUUUUUAUUUUUUAAGGGGCACUGAACUAAGAGCUUUGCAUCUUUCGAGAGAGCAUUAGAUGCUUCUUACGAUCACAAUAACAGAUAGGUACUAGUUAGUGUCAUAAACUCUGCCUUUUGUCUGUAGUGUGCCACAUGCUAUGCACCCGCUGUGCAGCAGAUACAGGAAUAUCAGAUCAAUUGAAGAUUACUGAAGCCCCACUAACACAUUGGAUCAGUGUUACUGUGAAAGCAGAAGCCUGGUAGUUAUGUUUUCCAACUUUGCCUCCCCCCAUGACCUAAACGAACUAACUAACUAAAUCUGUGUAUUCUGCCUUUUUGAGUAAAGAGGGCUGGGAGAAGGGCUCAUUGUUAGAUGCCGACAGGCCCACAUGGCAGGCCCAGGCUCCUGCUGUUGGCUUUGUGGCAAAGUGCUCUGUUGUAUCACACUGAGCCUUGAUUCCUGGCACAAGAGGAGUGUUGAGGAGAACGUCUCGCUGAGUUAGCAAAUACCAGAACUUUUUAUAUCCGUGUGUCCAAAAUGCUGCUUGUAUAGGAUUUGUCACUUUUGUAAGAAAAGAAGAAAAAAUCACCAAAAAAAAAAAUUCAUAAAAAACCCCACCAUCCCAUUACAUAAGAUUUCAUUGGAACUACCUCUCAGCGUAAGAUUCAAACGUUAGGUAAGUUUAAUAGGGUUUGCUCACUGUCACAUUAUGUAAAAGUUACAGUAAAUGCCAAAAUCGCAAAAGUUUAUCACCAAAAAAACAACAAUAAUAAAAAAGAUGAAGUCUUUCUUUUUAUGUGUUUGGAAGUAUCCAGUAGUUUCAAGUGACUGUAUACUCUGUUGUAUUCUUUUAACUUCUGUAGUUUUAGUCUUGCAAACUCUGGCUGCUGGACAGGAGGCAAAUCAUAACCACAAGCUUUCAUAAUCACGGUCUGCUGAGUAAAAACAAUUUUGUGUGCAGCAUUGUUGUUUGGCUAUGGAUAGCCUCAUUCACCACAUGUACCAUUAAUUACUUGUUUUCUUCAGUACUAGAGAUGUGAACUUGAUGAAUGGUUUCUGUAACGGAUGCGUGCCACAAACUGCAUUGUCUUGUUUGCCUCUUUCCUGAGUUUUAAUGAUCAGUUUAUUAUUGCGGAUGUGAAUAUCGCACAUUCAACUUAUUUUCUGUAUAAUUGUAUAAAAUAUAAAUGGAAAAAGGUUUAAGUUCUUACACAGUAUUUAGAAGUAAUGUAUUAUAACAGCCUUAUGAUGCAGUUUUACUUACAGAGUACUGCACUUCUUUUAAACUGGAUCAUACCAUCUUGGUAGGUGUAGAUCAACUUUGCAUGAGUGUGUUUGGGUUUUGUUUCUUUUUCAUUGAAGUUUAAUUCUUAAGUUCUAUUUCAGUGUUUGUGUUUACUACUUGUGAUCAUGUAGUUGUGCCUUACAUUGUGAAAGAAUUUAGUCCAGCGUGCACUGUAAUUCCUAAACUCUGCGGUUUGAAAGGUGGCUGUGGAUUUGGAUGAGAAAAUGACAUCAUGCAUCAACCAACCAGUUCUGUAUAAACUAUGAUGAAAUGUUAUUGAAAUGUAAUUUUUGUUUUCUAACCUGUUACAGGAUCGAUGAACGACAAUAAAAGAAAAAAUUAGAC
This 4677-nucleotide long non-coding RNA is filed under the name Gallus gallus (chicken). RNAcentral's name for it is "lncRNA (ENSGALG00010013747.1)". Lineage: Eukaryota; Metazoa; Chordata; Aves; Galliformes; Phasianidae. The record is from RNAcentral.